GGGGCAGUGGCUCAGUGACAGAGCCCCCGCCUCGUACGCGGGAAGACCUGGGUUCGGUUCCCGGCUGCUUCC
Molecule: transfer RNA, 72 nt
Organism: Toxocara canis (dog roundworm)
Lineage: Eukaryota; Metazoa; Nematoda; Chromadorea; Rhabditida; Toxocaridae
Rfam family: tRNA
About the family: Transfer RNA (tRNA) molecules are approximately 80 nucleotides in length. Their secondary structure includes four short double-helical elements and three loops (D, anti-codon, and T loops).
Source: Rfam